GCUGGGCAUGGUGGUUCAUGCCUGGAAUCCCAGCACUUGGGAGGCCGAGGUGGGUGGAUCACCUGAGGUCAGGAGUUUGACACCAGCCUGACCAAUAUGGUGAAACCCCACCUCUA
This is an unclassified non-coding RNA of Macaca mulatta (Rhesus monkey), 116 nucleotides long. It matches the Rfam family "Metazoan signal recognition particle RNA". Rfam says of the family: The signal recognition particle (SRP) is a universally conserved ribonucleoprotein. It is involved in the co-translational targeting of proteins to membranes. The eukaryotic SRP consists of a 300-nucleotide 7S RNA and six proteins: SRPs 72, 68, 54, 19, 14, and 9. The record is from Ensembl. Lineage: Eukaryota; Metazoa; Chordata; Mammalia; Primates; Cercopithecidae.